RNAcentral lists this transfer RNA (64 nucleotides) under Desis jiaxiangi. Its description in RNAcentral is "tRNA-Trp". Lineage: Eukaryota; Metazoa; Arthropoda; Arachnida; Araneae; Desidae. The record is from RNAcentral.
AAUAUUAAGAAAAUAAUUCUAUUAGCUUUCAAAGUUAAAAGUGGUGUUAUAUUAGUUCUAAUAU